UUGGCCACCUGGCUCUGAGAACUGAAUUCCAUAGGCUGUGAGCUCUAGCAAAUGCCCUAGGGACUCAGUUCUGGUGCCCGGCUGUGCUAU
RNAcentral lists this microRNA precursor (90 nucleotides) under Neotoma lepida (desert woodrat). RNAcentral's name for it is "mir-146 microRNA precursor family". It matches the Rfam family "mir-146 microRNA precursor family". Lineage: Eukaryota; Metazoa; Chordata; Mammalia; Rodentia; Cricetidae. The record is from Rfam by way of RNAcentral. RNAcentral also lists the same sequence under 2 other names.